AAUUCGAUGCAACGCGAAGAACCUUACCAGGUCUUGACAUCUGUAGAAUCCGGUUGAAAGAUCGGAGUGCCUUCGGGAGCUACAAGACAGGUGGUGCAUGGUUGUCGUCAGCUCGUGUCGUGAGAUGUUGGGUUAAGUCCCGCAACGAGCGCAACCCUUGCUAUUAGUUGCUAACAGGUAGAGCUGAGCACUCUAAUGGGACUGCCCGUGACAAGCGGGAGGAAGGUGGGGAUGACGUCAAAUCAUCAUGCCCUUUAUGAUCUGGGCUACACACGUGCUACAAUGGAUGGUACAGAGAGCAGCGAGGCCGCGAGGUGGAGCGAAUCUCAAAAAGCCAUUCUCAGUUCGGAUUGCAGUCUGCAACUCGACUGCAUGAAGUCGGAAUCGCUAGUAAUCGCGAAUCAGCACGUCGCGGUGAAUGCGUUCCCGGGCCUU
This 435-nucleotide ribosomal RNA is filed under the name uncultured Syntrophomonas sp. RNAcentral describes it as "bacterial SSU rRNA". It matches the Rfam family "Bacterial small subunit ribosomal RNA", at positions 948 to 1382 of the family's 1533-position model. Lineage: Bacteria; Bacillati; Bacillota; Clostridia; Eubacteriales; Syntrophomonadaceae. The record is from RNAcentral.